This 119-nucleotide ribosomal RNA is filed under the name Pteropus alecto (black flying fox). Lineage: Eukaryota; Metazoa; Chordata; Mammalia; Chiroptera; Pteropodidae. The record is from RNAcentral.
GUCUAAGGCCAUGCUACCCUGAACAAGCCCGAUCCUGUCUGAUCUCAGAAGCUAAGCAGGGUUGGGCCUGGUUAGUACUUGGGUGGGAGACCACCUAGGAAGACCAGGCGCUGUAGGAG